This 71-nucleotide transfer RNA is filed under the name Blanus cinereus (Mediterranean worm lizard). RNAcentral describes it as "tRNA-Ser". It matches the Rfam family "tRNA". Rfam says of the family: Transfer RNA (tRNA) molecules are approximately 80 nucleotides in length. Their secondary structure includes four short double-helical elements and three loops (D, anti-codon, and T loops). The record is from RNAcentral. Lineage: Eukaryota; Metazoa; Chordata; Lepidosauria; Squamata; Blanidae.
GAGUGGAAGCAUGAUGGUUGUGCGGCCGAUUUGAAAUCGGUCUAUUGGCGGUUCGAUUCCGUCCCGUCUCG